This 1337-nucleotide long non-coding RNA is filed under the name Dasypus novemcinctus (nine-banded armadillo). RNAcentral's name for it is "lncRNA (ENSDNOG00000050162.1)". Lineage: Eukaryota; Metazoa; Chordata; Mammalia; Cingulata; Dasypodidae. The record is from RNAcentral.
UCUCCCACAUGCUGACAGCCCAUGACCGCAGACACGAUUUUAGGAAAGGCCCCAUAACCUGGGAACGAACUCCUCCUCCCCUCCUCACCCCCCCCCUUCUCCCCUGCUCCCCCCUGCCUUUCCCUCCCCUCCCUCUCCUUCCUUCCUUCUCUCCUCCCCUCCCGUUCUACAGGUGCGUGGCCCCGUCCCCCAUGCCCGGGCGUGGGGGCUCUUCCCUGGGCGUAUGGGCAGGUCCCACCCAGCUGGGCACCCCCUGGCCUACCACAGGGACCCCUGAGAGGAGCGCUGGGCGUGUCGGCAGGAGACGGAUCAGCGUGAGGCAAACAGAGAAGCAAUCUGCUGCUGCUGCCCAAAUCGGCCACUUCGCCCACCCGCACGCCCUGCUUCCUUACAAGCCAGCAAGGAAAGGUUAAAAAAAAGAAGAAUGAGUGCUUUGGGUUCAGGAAAUCCCAGCUCUGGAACCAACAGGUUAAUAGAAGGGCCGUUUAUAAGCUCCAGCUGCUUCGGUCUGUGCUUCCCUGUACAUGUUCCACGUUGGGCUGGAAACCGUGUCAUCAGUGUUGGAACGGGUGAAAAGGAUAAUAUCUUGAGCUGUUUAAAUUCUUUUCCCCCUGCGUCCCAGUGGGCCUGUACUAAAAUUUCAACUCCUCAGCUCAGCAGGGAUGGGCGAGUGUAAAGUUACUUUCCAAAGAAGCCGGGAGAGCAUUUGUGUGUGCGAAGGUGUGGGGCAGAUGGAAUGGGCCAGCGCCGGUGGGAGAGCAAGUUUCCACUUAGGGUGGGGCCAGCACGCCCCAGGCUCCCUCCGAAUGAGUCCCAGCUGUGCAGCUUCUGGGCCCCGAGCCCCCCCCAUCGGGGAGAGCCCCACACCCCACACCCCACACCCGACUGCUCGGGAAACAGCCGCCGAGGACAGGUGGGGCCUGUGCAGAAAUCCGUGCACAGAGAAGCCUCAGGUGGGGUCCAGAGGGCGUUGUGGGGUCUCUCAAAAUUAGGGCAGCGACAGUGCCUUGUGGAGCCGAGCGGACAGCAGCUCACAAGACAGAAGAGUGGAGCAGCCGCUUGGAAGUGCUUGAGAACCUUCUAGGCCUUGGACUUGGAGCCGGUUGCUCGCAGCAGUGCUCAGUCACCGCAGCCAGAACUAGCCAGUUCUUCUGAGAGGAGGUGAAUCUGAGCUCCAGUCCCACGUAGGGUUUUAAGUGGCAUCUUUCUCUGGGCCUCAGCUUCCCCUUAAAAUUAAGGAGUUGGCAGGGAUGAUCUUCAAGGGCCCUUCCAGGCUGCUCUUUGUGAGACUCUCCGAACCGGCCGUGACCCAUUUGCCCAACAAGCAGCUCGCACAU